CUAACAAGGAUUCCCCUAGUAACUGCGAGUGAAGCGGGAAAAGCUCAAAUUUAAAAUCUGGCAGUCUUUGGCUGUCCGAGUUGUAAUCUAGAGAAGUGUUAUCCGCGCUGGACCGUGUACAAGUCUCCUGGAAUGGAGCGUCAUAGAGGGUGAGAAUCCCGUCUUUGACACGGACUGCCAGGGCUUUGCGAUGCGCUCUCAAAGAGUCGAGUUGUUUGGGAAUGCAGCUCAAAAUGGGUGGUAAAUUCCAUCUAAAGCUAAAUAUUGGCGAGAGACCGAUAGCGAACAAGUACCGUGAGGGAAAGAUGAAAAGAACUUUGGAAAGAGAGUUAAACAGUACGUGAAAUUGCUGAAAGGGAAACGCUUGAAGUCAGUCGCGUUGGCCAGGAAUCAGUCUAGCCAUUUGGUUGGAUGUAUUUUCUGGUCGACGGGUCAGCAUCAAUUUUGACCAUUGGAUAAAGGUAUGGGGAAUGUGACAUUUCUUCGGAGAUGUGUUAUAGACUCAUGCUGCAUACAAUGGUUGGGAUUGAGGAAUUCAGCACGCCGCAGGGCCGGGAUUAUAUCCACGUUCGUGCUUAGGAUGCUGGCAUAAUGGCUUUAAUCGACCCGUCUUGAAACACGGACCAAGGAGUCUAACAUGCCUGCGAGUAUUUGGGUGGAAAACCCAUGUGCGCAAUGAAAGUGAAAGUUGAGAUCCUUGUCAUGGGGAGCAUCGACGCCCGGACUUGACGUUUUCUGACGGUUCUGCGGUAGAGCAUGUAUGUUGGGACCCGAAAGAUGGUGAACUAUGCCUGAAUAGGGUGAAGCCAGAGGAAACUCUGGUGGAGGCUCGUAGCGAUUCUGACGUGCAAAUCGAUCGUCAAAUUUGGGUAUAGGGGCGAAAGACUAAUCGAACCAUCUAGUAGCUGGUUCCUGC
RNAcentral lists this ribosomal RNA (916 nucleotides) under Dissoderma contortipes. RNAcentral's name for it is "Squamanita contortipes partial large subunit ribosomal RNA". It matches the Rfam family "Eukaryotic large subunit ribosomal RNA", at positions 65 to 961 of the family's 3401-position model. The record is from RNAcentral. Lineage: Eukaryota; Fungi; Basidiomycota; Agaricomycetes; Agaricales.